CUCCCCUUUUCCCUCGCGGAGAGACUGGGGGGCAGCGCAAAAAGCCCUUCCGAGCUCGGGAGUACCCGUGUCGACUGAGGGAGCCCCCGCCCUUAGCGGCACCCACGACUCUUAGCCUCUGGUACUGAGUCGGACUGAAGGCGGGAGUCCUAGCUGAAAGGAGCCGUCGAAACGCCUCCCGACCUAACCCCGUACACCAAACACGAGUAAAUGAGGCACGGACUGGUGUCUGCAGCACACCCCUCGGUAGAAGCAAAUCUGAGGAAGGAAUUCUGGGGUGAUUAUUGCUGCUUCUACUUUCUGAAGUGAGAUAGAUUGUAAAGCAGGUACAUCAAAGGCAGACGUCUCUAGAGUGCCAAAGAAGAAUGUAAAGCUGACUCUUUGGAAAACAGCCUGGGAUGAGAGCUGAGAGAUCAGGGCUGAAGCGGCUGUUCCAUGAAACACGCAUUGCUUUCAUCCGUGCUACUGCUGUCAGGACUACCUGCAGGUUGUUCUUCACUCUGAGCUCUGCCACCCUUCUCCCCACAG
This is a long non-coding RNA of Gallus gallus (chicken), 528 nucleotides long. The record is from Ensembl. Lineage: Eukaryota; Metazoa; Chordata; Aves; Galliformes; Phasianidae.